This 1373-nucleotide long non-coding RNA is filed under the name Heterocephalus glaber (naked mole-rat). RNAcentral's name for it is "lncRNA (ENSHGLG00100044121.1)". Lineage: Eukaryota; Metazoa; Chordata; Mammalia; Rodentia; Bathyergidae. The record is from RNAcentral.
GACCAGGUCUUCGGCUGUGCGCUGGCCACAUUGUGCGCGCGUGAGAAGAGCUCCGUGCCACGCUUCGUGCAGCAGUGCGUGCACGCCGUCGAGGCCCGGGGGCUGGACACGGACGGGCUGUACCGCAUCAGCGGGAACCUGGCCACCAUCCAGAAGCUCCGCUACCACGUGGACCACGAUGAGCGCCUGGACCUGGAUGACGGCCGCUGGACUGACGUCCACGUGCUCACCGGCGCGCUCAAGCUCUUCCUGCGCGAGCUGCCUGAGCCGCUCUUCCCCUUCUCGCACUUCAGCCAGUUCCUCGCAGCCAUCAAGCUGCAGGACCCAGCCCGGCGCCGCUGCGUGCGGGACCUGGUGCGCUCGCUGCCCACUCCGAACCAUGACACUCUGCAGCUGCUGUUCCAGCACCUGCGCCGGGUGGUGGAACAGGGGGAGCAGAACCGCAUGUCAGUGCAGAGUGUGGCCAUCGUGUUCGGGCCCACUCUGCUGCGGCCCGAGACAGAGGAGGGCAGCAUGCCCAUGACCAUGGUGUUCCAGAACCAGGUGGUGGAGCUCAUCCUGCAGCAGUGCGCAGACAUCUUCCCGCCACCCUGAUGGCUGCCACCCACCCUUGUUGCCGCGGGGAGGCGCCUGGCCAGAGCCCUGUGCAGGUAACCAGGAAGAGCCUGACAGGACCAUGUGACCUCCAGUCUAAGCCUCCCUGGCCCAGGAUGAAGAACUGGCUUCAUCUGCCUUCCUGUCUGUGGAUCCACAUCGGGAUCCAGUCAGUCCACUGUGUCCUGGGCAAGGUUUUUUCACACCCAUGAGCUGCGAGCCCUGGGCCUGCUAUAGAGGAGCUCUGUCAAUACAGAGCCCUGAUGCAGGAAGGAAACCAGCUCUCAAGGCCUCCCUCACCAGGGUGCGGGCUCCAGGGAGGGGACCUGGCCUCUGCCCCCCUUUCCAGCGUGGGCCAGAGAGCAGCCUGCCCCCUGUUCUGGGGGAGGAGCACGUGGCAGGGCCCUCACGCCCCUCUGCCAAGCUGGCCACUGGGGCCUACCUUGCCACAGCGCUGGGAGGGGCCUGGGGGGGACAGCCUCCGGAAAGGAGGGGUGCACCUGCCUAUCCUCAUGCACAAACCGCGGAGGCUGUGGAUCUCAGGCCCCGCCUCCCCCUUCAUGGCUCAGUGAACAAUAGUAGCUCAUUGCAUUGAGCAUCCACACCAGGCCACGCAUCCUGCCCCAGUUACCUUUGUGUCCCUUGCAGUCGGUAUUUAUUGUGUUCUUGUGUGCCAGGCACAUGCUGUCUGCCCCAUGGAGCUGGGGUCCAGGCAAGAGAUGGAGACCUCCUACCAUGCAUCUAAAUAUUUAAAAGAUGCAAAUCAAGCCAAGAACUGU